GCGAGGAGGUGGGGGGCUGCGAGGGCUGGGCCCGGAAACACGGGUAGUUCCAAGAGAUUUCGCGGUAGUGCCUGGAGAGGGGAGACCCUGCCUGGGACACAAGUCCCGUUGCAUACUGGCGUUCUGACCUCCAAACCAGCGAGAAGAGAAAGCAGAUACAAUAAAUAAACCAAGAGGGAAUAAACUUAGAGGCAAACGCGGCCCUCGGCAGUUCCUGGGGAAAGAUCAAAGGCCGUAGGAAGUGCCCCGCAGAGGAAAUCUGCAGUCACUAGCGACAGGACCGCGCCCGCCCCCUCCCCACCUUGCAACGCUGCCAGGACUCGGUGGGCGUCCUGGCUCUUCACAGUUAGCCUAUGUUUGGGAGCGCGGGAGGAAACAAUGUUGACUGAUAUAUUCUUCUCCCCUCCCCAGCCCCCCAAACACACACACACAGGAUUUCUACUCC
This 445-nucleotide long non-coding RNA is filed under the name Homo sapiens (human). RNAcentral's name for it is "non-protein coding lnc-LIFR-9:1". Lineage: Eukaryota; Metazoa; Chordata; Mammalia; Primates; Hominidae. The record is from RNAcentral.